UGCAGUCGAACGCACUCGACCUUCGGGUCACAUGAGUGAGUGGCGAACGGGUGAGUAACACGUGAGGAACCUGCCCUGAAGACUGGAAUAACCCGGGGAAACUCGGGCUAAUACCGGAUGCCCCCAUCGGAUCGCAUGGUCCGGUGAGGAAAUGCUCCGGCGCUUCGGGAGGGUCUCACGGCCUAUCAGCUAGUUGGUGAGGUAACGGCUCACCAAGGCAACGACGGGUAGCUGGUCUGAGAGGACGAUCAGCCACACUGGGACUGAGACACGGCCCAGACUCCUACGGGAGGCAGCAGUGGGGAAUCUUGCGCAAUGGGCGAAAGCCUGACGCAGCCACGCCGCGUGAGGGAUGAAGGCUCUCGGGUUGUAAACCUCUUUCAGCAGGGACGAAAAUGACGGUACCUGCAGAAGAAGCUCCGGCCAACUACGUGCCAGCAGCCGCGGUAACACGUAGGGAGCGAGCGUUGUCCGGAUUUAUUGGGCGUAAAGAGCUCGUAGGCGGUUCGGUAAGUUAGGUGUGAAAGCUCGAGGCUCAACCUCGAGAAGCCACCUAAUACUGCUGUGACUUGAGUCCGGUAGAGGAGUGUGGAAUUCCUGGUGUAGCGGUGAAAUGCGCAGAUAUCAGGAGGAACACCUACAGCGAAGGCAGCACUCUGGGCCGGUACUGACGCUGAGGAGCGAAAGCGUGGGGAGCGAACAGGAUUAGAUACCCUGGUAGUCCACGCCGUAAACGUUGGGCACUAGGUGUGGGGUCGAAUUAACCGAUUCCGUGCCGUAGCUAACGCAUUAAGU
RNAcentral lists this ribosomal RNA (795 nucleotides) under actinobacterium SCGC AAA003-F21. RNAcentral describes it as "SSU rRNA". It matches the Rfam family "Bacterial small subunit ribosomal RNA", at positions 56 to 865 of the family's 1533-position model. The record is from RNAcentral. Lineage: Bacteria; Bacillati; Actinomycetota; Actinomycetes.